Molecule: long non-coding RNA, 322 nt
Filed under: Brassica napus (rape)
Lineage: Eukaryota; Viridiplantae; Streptophyta; Magnoliopsida; Brassicales; Brassicaceae
Description: long non-coding RNA (BNAP_LNC003063)
Source: RNAcentral
AUCAAGCUCUAAUUUGAUUUAAAAAAUAGUUCAUGAAUCAUCAUGAGCCUUGAUGGUAGAUCCUAAUUACUCAUACAAUGCAAGAGUGAUUAGGUAAGCCUAUUGAAUUAGUAUAUUUUUACCACUAGUGCAUCAAAUCACUUUCAAGUAAACUUCUUAUGUAAUCCAAACUAAUUAAAAGUAUUUCUAACUACUUUAAUGCAAUGUUGCUUUUAAAGUGGUUACAUGAGCUAGUCUUGAUAGUUUAUAUAGUGACCAAUCUCGUUUAGAUUUUGUAACAGUGCCUGUGCAUGUGAUAUCGUCUGCGUACGAGGUACUCACU